Molecule: ribosomal RNA, 460 nt
Filed under: uncultured bacterium
Lineage: Bacteria
Description: partial 16S ribosomal RNA
Rfam family: Bacterial small subunit ribosomal RNA
Source: RNAcentral
CCUACGCGAGGCAGCAGUGAGGAAUAUUGGUCAAUGGACGCAAGUCUGAACCAGCCAUGCCGCGUGCAGGAUGACGGCUCUAUGAGUUGUAAACUGCUUUUGUACGAGGGUAAACCCCGAUACGUGUAUCUGGUUGAAAGUAUCGUACGAAUAAGGAUCGGCUAACUCCGUGCCAGCAGCCGAGGUAAUCCGGAGGAUCCGAGCGUUAUCCGGAUUUAUUGGGGUUAAAGGGUGCGUAGGCGGUUUGAUAAGUUAGAGGUGAAAUGUCGGGGCUCAACCCCGAAACUGCCUCUAAUACUGUUGGACUAGAGAAUAGUUGCGGUAGGCGGAAUGUAUGGUGUAGCGGUGAAAUGCUUAGAGAUCAUACAGAACACCGAUUGCGAAGGCAGCUUACCAAACUAUAUCUGACGUUGAGGCACGAAAGCGUGGGUAGCAAACAGGAUUAGAUACCCCAGUAGUC